AUGAAAUCCAAGUUUGCAGAUCCUCUCAUCAGCAUUGAUGGUGUCCUUUUAGAUGAAGAUGGCAAUAUGGCGCAGAUCAGUGUACCCAAAAAAUUUCAAAGACAAUUCCGCCCCUUACUCACAGAAGGACAUGUCUACAUCUUUAAUGAUAUUGCAGCUGUUGAUAUAAAAAACAAAACCCAUAUAUAUCACCACCAAGACUAUAUGUUGCAAUUCAAGCACAACACUAAGGUUCACCGACUUGAAACCAGAGGGACAAAUAUACCAAAGUUUUCCUUCAAUUUUUGUCCAUUUGAUAAUCUACCAGAAAAAGAUACUUUUGCAAAACCACUUCAAGAUAUAAUAGGAGUCAUUAGCCACGUUGGGCCAUUUGAUUAUGCAAGUCAGACAUCUACAAAUAAACUCAGGAAAAUCAAAAUUCGAAACCUAGAUGAACACACACAAGAAAUACGUCUUUGGGGCCACCAUGGUGAAACAUUUGAUGAAGAAGCUGUACUUAAAAAAUCACAAGAAGGCAUUGUAGUUGGCAUUUUUGCGGGUCUCACAGCUGGGAGCUUUCUAGGUGCCCUGCAUGCAUCCUCAACCUCUGCAACAAAAGUUUACAUUGACUUGGAUACAUCUGAAGUUAAAAACUACCAAACCAGGUCAGCGAUUAUCCUUUAUAUUUGCAACUACUACCUUCUUUUUCCAAAAUCUAACAUGCUGAUAUUGUUCUCACUGAUUCUUUUUGAAGCUAUAAAUGGGAAUCUCCAGCUCUGCGACAACAACUACCUCAGGUUAUGCAUUUAUCUCCUAUUCAAGCAGCAGGGAAAAUGUACACACUUCAACAAAUAUCAGAUAUGCCCACCUCAAAUUUUCAGGUCAACAUCAUCUUAUCUACCCUAUUAUUUGUAUAUCAGUGAACUUCUACAGAAAAUUCUCAAUGCACCCUUUUUGCAAACUCUUAGGAAGGAGCUACCUACAGCACCAUUGCGAAAGUUAAAUCUAUUGUACCUUCAACUAAAUGGUACUACAAAGGAUGCAAACGUUGUGAUAGAGGAUACAAGAACAACUCAGAUACUCCAACAUGCCUUUGCACAAAUUCAUCUCCAAAGCCAUUGUACGAUCUCUGUUUUUAUACAACAUUUGCCUUCAUUUACAUAUUCUGUUCCAUAUAAACGACUAUCAAAUUCUCUAGGUACAAGCUACCAAUAA
Molecule: ribosomal RNA, 1194 nt
Filed under: Triticum aestivum (bread wheat)
Lineage: Eukaryota; Viridiplantae; Streptophyta; Magnoliopsida; Poales; Poaceae
Description: partial small subunit ribosomal RNA
Source: RNAcentral